GCUAGUAUGGUAGGGUAAAAGCCUGACCAAGGCGACGAUCGGUAGCUGGUCUGAGAGGAUAGACCAGCCACACUGGGCGACUGAGACACGGCCCAGACUCCUACGGGAGGCAGCAAGUGGGGAAUUUUGCCCGCAAUGGGCGAAAGCCUGACGGAGCAAGACCGCGUGAAGGGAGGAAGGCGCUCUUGGGUUGUAAACCUCUUUUCUCUGGGAAGAAGAUCUGAACGGUACCAGGAGGAAUCAGCAUCGGCUAACUCCGUGCCAGCAGCCGCGGUAAAUACGGAGGGAUGCAAGCGUUAUCCGGAAUUAUUGGGCGUAAAGCGUCCGUAGGAUGGCCGGUUCAAGUCUGCCGUUAAAACCAG
Molecule: ribosomal RNA, 362 nt
Filed under: uncultured bacterium
Lineage: Bacteria
Description: bacterial SSU rRNA
Rfam family: Bacterial small subunit ribosomal RNA
Source: RNAcentral